AGUGAACGCUGGCGGUAGGCCUAACACAUGCAAGUCGAACGGCAGCACAGUAAGAGCUUGCUCUUACGGGUGGCGAGUGGCGGACGGGUGAGGAAUACAUCGGAAUCUACUUUUUCGUGGGGGAUAACGUAGGGAAACUUACGCUAAUACCGCAUACGACCUACGGGUGAAAGCAGGGGAUCUUCGGACCUUGCGCGAUUGAAUGAGCCGAUGUCGGAUUAGCUAGUUGGCGGGGUAAAGGCCCACCAAGGCGACGAUCCGUAGCUGGUCUGAGAGGAUGAUCAGCCACACUGGAACUGAGACACGGUCCAGACUCCAACGGGAGGCAGCAGUGGGGAAUAUGGGACAAUGGGCGCAAGCCUGAUCCAGCCAUACCGCGUGGGUGAAGAAGGCCUUCGGGUUGUAAAGCCCUUUUGUUGGGAAAGAAAAGCAGCAGGUUAAUACCCCGCUGUUCUGACGGUACCCAAAGAAUAAGCACCGGCUAACUUCG
RNAcentral lists this ribosomal RNA (490 nucleotides) under uncultured bacterium. RNAcentral describes it as "partial 16S ribosomal RNA". It matches the Rfam family "Bacterial small subunit ribosomal RNA", at positions 29 to 505 of the family's 1533-position model. The record is from RNAcentral.